This 656-nucleotide long non-coding RNA is filed under the name Equus caballus (horse). Its description in RNAcentral is "lncRNA (ENSECAG00000047244.1)". Lineage: Eukaryota; Metazoa; Chordata; Mammalia; Perissodactyla; Equidae. The record is from RNAcentral.
GGGAAUAAAGAAUGUAAGAGGAGGCAAUGCAAUCUCUUCUUUCUCGUUGAUGGGGAUAGAGAGAGGGGCUAUCUGAGUUGAUUACAUGUAAAUAAGCCUUAGGAUUUUUUUUUCUUUAAGGACCAUCUGGAAGAGGCAGCUGUACUGCAUCUUCACUAAAGCUAGAAGAGGAAGUAGUGGGCUUAAGCUUCCACACAGGGAUUUGGGUUAAAUAUAAGAAAAUAUUUCCUUACAAGAAGAUUUGUAAACAUUGGUACUGGGUAAAGAAGGAGGUGGCGUAAUCACAUUCCCUGGAGGACUUUACCACAGAAGAGAUUGCUGUCAAAUUAAGAUGAUUUUCUGUGCGUGCCUACAAGAAGCAGAGAAUGGGCACCCAUGGAACCAGGACAUCUCUGCAUUAAUAAGGACCUGAAAGACACUUAGCUGAAACACCCAUUUUACAGGUGUCGCAUACAAGUGUGAGCAGAGGAAAACUGGCCGGCUGCCUCCAAGCGUCCUCACAGCAACAGCAUUUUCACCCUCAGCCUCUCAAGCUCAGAAGCCUAAUGUUUUCAGGGCAAAUACAGGCUCUUAGUGUAAACUCACGGUAAUUAAACUUUCAAACAGAUGUCUAAAACCAGAAUCCAACUACAAAUAGGCCUGCCACGAUGUCGCCA